Molecule: ribosomal RNA, 465 nt
Filed under: uncultured bacterium
Lineage: Bacteria
Description: partial 16S ribosomal RNA
Rfam family: Bacterial small subunit ribosomal RNA
Source: RNAcentral
CCUACGGGUGGCAGCAGUGGGGAAUAUUGCGCAAUGGGCGAAAGCCUGACGCAGCGACGCCGCGUGAGGGAUGAAGGUCUUCGGAUCGUAAACCUCUGUCAGCAGGGAAGAACGGUCACUGUGCUAAUCAGCAGUGAAUUGACGGUACCUGCAAAGGAAGCACCGGCUAACUCCGUGCCCGCAGCCGCGGUAAUCCGGAGGGUGCGAGCGUUAAUCGGAAUUACUGGGGGUAAAGCGCUCGUAGGCGGUAUGUCAAGGCAAGGGUGAAAUCCCCGCGCGCAACGUGGGAACUGCCUUUGAAACGGGCAAACUGGAGUGGGUGAGAGGAUAGUGGAAUUCCAGGUGUAGGAGUGAAAUCCGUAGAUAUCGGGAGGAACAUCAGUGGCGAAGGCGACUAUCUGGCACAUAACUGACGCUGAGGAGCGAAAGCGUGGGUAGCAAACAGGAUUAGAUACCCCAGUAGUC